This 253-nucleotide ribosomal RNA is filed under the name uncultured bacterium. RNAcentral's name for it is "partial 16S ribosomal RNA". It matches the Rfam family "Bacterial small subunit ribosomal RNA", at positions 524 to 776 of the family's 1533-position model. The record is from RNAcentral.
GACGAACCGAGCGAACGUUGUUCGGAAUCACUGGGCUUAAAGGGCUCGUAGGCGGUCCAUCGCGUCGGGAGUGAAAAGCUGGGGCUUAACCCCAGUCCUGCUUCCGAUACGGGUGGACUAGAGGUAGGCAGGGGAGAACGGAAUUCCUGGUGUAGCGGUGAAAUGCGCAGAUAUCAGGAGGAACACCGGUGGCGAAGGCGGCUCACUGGCCCGGUACUGACGCUGAGGUGCGAAAGCGUGGGGAGCAAACAGG